Molecule: ribosomal RNA, 320 nt
Filed under: uncultured Prevotella sp.
Lineage: Bacteria; Pseudomonadati; Bacteroidota; Bacteroidia; Bacteroidales; Prevotellaceae
Description: partial 16S ribosomal RNA
Source: RNAcentral
GGAGUCUGGUCCGUGUCUCAGUACCAGUGUGGGGGACCUUCCUCUCAGAACCCCUAAGGAUCGAUGGCCAGGUGGGCCGUUACCCCGCCUGCUGCCUAAUCCUACGCAUCCCCAUCCCAAGGCGAUGAAUCUUUACUCCUCCUCAGAUGCCAUCAAAAGAGACCAUCAGGUAUUAAUCCGACUUUCGCCGGGCUGUCCCUGACCUCGGGGCAGGUUGGAUACGCGUUACUCACCCGUGCGCCGGUCGCCAUCAAACUUAGCAAGCUAAGUUCAUGCUGCCCCUCGACUUGCAUGUGUUAAGCCUGUAGCUAGCGUUCAUC